CCUACGGGUGGCAGCAGUGAGGAAUAUUGGUCAAUGGCCGUAAGGCUGAACCAGCCAAGUCGCGUGAAGGAAGAAGGAACUAUGGUUUGUAAACUUCUUUUAUAGGGGAAUAAAUGUAUCCACGUGUGGAUCUUUGCAUGUACCCUAUGAAUAAGCAUCGGCUAACUCCGUGCCAGCAGCCGCGGUAAUACGGGGGAUGCGAGCGUUAUCCGGAUUUAUUGGGUUUAAAGGGUGCGUAGGCGGGAUGCCAAGUCAGCGGUAAAAAUGCGGUGCUCAACGCCGUCGAGCCGUUGAAACUGGCGGUCUUGAGUGGGCGAGAAGUAGGCGGAAUGCGUGGUGUAGCGGUGAAAUGCAUAGAUAUCACGCAGAACUCCGAUUGCGAAGGCAGCAUACCGGGGCCCGACUGACGCUGAGGCACGAAAGCGUGGGUAUCGAACAGGAUUAGAUACCCCAGUAGUC
RNAcentral lists this ribosomal RNA (459 nucleotides) under uncultured bacterium. RNAcentral describes it as "partial 16S ribosomal RNA". It matches the Rfam family "Bacterial small subunit ribosomal RNA", at positions 338 to 795 of the family's 1533-position model. The record is from RNAcentral.